This 21-nucleotide microRNA is filed under the name Rehmannia glutinosa. RNAcentral's name for it is "rgl-miR7972". Lineage: Eukaryota; Viridiplantae; Streptophyta; Magnoliopsida; Lamiales; Orobanchaceae. The record is from miRBase by way of RNAcentral.
UUGUCAGGCUUGUUAUUCUCC